Molecule: ribosomal RNA, 404 nt
Filed under: Sphingomonas sp. oral taxon A66
Lineage: Bacteria; Pseudomonadati; Pseudomonadota; Alphaproteobacteria; Sphingomonadales; Sphingomonadaceae
Description: bacterial SSU rRNA
Rfam family: Bacterial small subunit ribosomal RNA
Source: RNAcentral
AACGAACGCUGGCGGCAUGCCUAACACAUGCAAGUCGAACGAACCCUUCGGGGUUAGUGGCGCACGGGUGCGUAACGCGUGGGAAUCUGCCCUUUGCUUCGGAAUAACAGUUAGAAAUGACUGCUAAUACCGGAUGAUGUCUUCGGACCAAAGAUUUAUCGGCAAAGGAUGAGCCCGCGUAGGAUUAGGUAGUUGGUGGGGUAAAGGCCUACCAAGCCGACGAUCCUUAGCUGGUCUGAGAGGAUGAUCAGCCACACUGGGACUGAGACACGGCCCAGACUCCUACGGGAGGCAGCAGUGGGGAAUAUUGGACAAUGGGCGCAAGCCUGAUCCAGCAAUGCCGCGUGAGUGAUGAAGGCCUUCGGGUCGUAAAGCUCUUUUACCAGGGAUGAUAAUGACAGACC